This 83-nucleotide transfer RNA is filed under the name Candidatus Margulisiibacteriota bacterium. Its description in RNAcentral is "tRNA-Leu". It matches the Rfam family "tRNA". Rfam says of the family: Transfer RNA (tRNA) molecules are approximately 80 nucleotides in length. Lineage: Bacteria; Bacillati; Candidatus Margulisiibacteriota. The record is from RNAcentral.
GGGCAAGUGGCGGAACGGUAUACGCUGUGGACUUAAAAUCCAUUCUCCGCAAGGGGGUGAGGGUUCGACUCCCUCCUUGCCCA